AUGACCAUUAACGCUGGCGUUCCACAAG
This 28-nucleotide small RNA is filed under the name Bombyx mori (domestic silkworm). Its description in RNAcentral is "ovarian small RNA-12558". The record is from RNAcentral. Lineage: Eukaryota; Metazoa; Arthropoda; Insecta; Lepidoptera; Bombycidae.